RNAcentral lists this long non-coding RNA (337 nucleotides) under Ananas comosus (pineapple). RNAcentral describes it as "long non-coding RNA (ACOM_LNC030404)". The record is from RNAcentral. Lineage: Eukaryota; Viridiplantae; Streptophyta; Magnoliopsida; Poales; Bromeliaceae.
CUCGGCGAACGUCUACCACUGAUCUGUCCGUCGUCAUCUGGAACCGGGCGCUUCCUAUCCUGAGUCUGCCCCGGCACCGUCGCCCGCUCACAGAUCGAUACAGCUCCUCGCUCAACCCACAACACCUGCUCAAUCGACGCAUCCAAGGUUCGCAACCUCCGUGCCUGUACCAAAACAAAAAUCUCUAGCCUCAAACCCCUCUCGUACAAAUAGACCUUAUGUGCUUCAUCCCUGGCUACAAACGACACACAGUUCAGAAGCCUGGUAAACUCCCGAGUAUACUCCUGUACUGACUGCUCCCCCUGCUGCAGCUUCUUUAGAACCUCCUCAAAUUUUU